CCUACGGGUGGCAGCAGUAGGGAAUUUUCGGCAAUGGAGGGAACCCUGACCGAGCCACGCCGCGUGAACGAAGAAGUUCUUCUUAAUGUAAAGUUCUUUUAACAGGGAAGUAAGAUAAAUUUGACGGUACCUUUCGAAUAAGCUCCGUCAAUCUACUUGCCGUCACCCGCGGUAAUCGGUAGCGAUCGAGCGUUGUCCGAAAUUAUUGGGCGAAAAGGUUGCGUAGAUGGUAGAUUAAGUCUUUUGUAAAAAUGGUUGGCUAAACGCAGAAGGGCAAAAGAUACUGGAAAGCUAGAGUAUGACAGAGGUGAGUGGAAUUAGAGGUGUAGCGGUAAAAUGCGUAGAUAUAAGUAAGAACACCGGUGGCGAAGGCGGCUUGCUGGGUCGAAACUGACAUUGAGGCACGAAAGCGUGGGGAGCAAACAGGAUUAGAUACCCGAGUAGUC
Molecule: ribosomal RNA, 446 nt
Filed under: uncultured bacterium
Lineage: Bacteria
Description: partial 16S ribosomal RNA
Rfam family: Bacterial small subunit ribosomal RNA
Source: RNAcentral